UUCCGGUUGAUCCUGCGGACCUCACUGCUAUCGGGGUGGGACUAAGACAUGCAAGUCGUACGCCUCCCAGCCGCCGGGGGAGGCGUGGCGCACGGCUCCGUAACACGUGGCUAACCUACCCUUGGGACGGGGAUAACCCCGGGAAACUGGGGCUAAUCCCCGAUAGGCGAGGAUGCCUGGAAUGGUUCCUCGCCGAAAGGGCACCGGAACCGUGCUUCCGGUGUCGCCCAAGGAUGGGGCUGCGGCCCAUCAUGGUUGUUGGUGGGGUAACGGCCCACCAAGCCUAUAACGGGUACGGGCCCUGGGAGGGGGAGCCCGGAGAUGGGCUCUGAGACAAGAGCCCAGGCCCUACGGGGCGCAGCAGGCGCGAAACCUCCCCAAUGCCCGAAAGGGUGAGGGGGUCACCCCGAGUGCCACCCUCGUGGUGGCUUUUGCCGGGUCUAAAAAGCCCGGCGAAUAAGGGGAGGGCAAGACGGGUGUCAGCCGCCGCGGUAAUACCCGCUCCCCGAGUGGUGGGGACUAUUACUGGGCUUAAAGCGCCCGUAGCCGGCCGGGUGUGUCCUCCGUUAAAUCCACGGGCCUAACCCGUGGGCUGCGGAGGAUACUACCCGGCUUGGGGGUGGGAGAGGGCGGCGGUAUUCCCGGGGUAGGGGUAAAAUCCUCUGAUCCCGGGAGGACCACCAGUGGCGAAGGCGGCCGUCCAGAACACGCCCGACGGUGAGGGGCGAAAGCUGGGGGAGCAAACGGGAUCAGAUACCCCGGUAGUCCCAGCCGUAAACGAUGCGGGCUAGGUGUCGGGUGGGCUACGGGCUCACCCGGUGCCGAAGGGAAACCAUUAAGCCCGCCGCCUGGGGAGUACGGCCGCAAGGCUGAAACUUAAAGGAAUUGGCGGGGGAGCACCACAAGGGGUGAAGCUUGCGGUUUAAUUGGAUCAACGCCGGAAAU
Molecule: ribosomal RNA, 945 nt
Filed under: uncultured archaeon
Lineage: Archaea
Description: bacterial SSU rRNA
Rfam family: Archaeal small subunit ribosomal RNA
Source: RNAcentral